RNAcentral lists this ribosomal RNA (652 nucleotides) under uncultured Rhodococcus sp. RNAcentral's name for it is "bacterial SSU rRNA". It matches the Rfam family "Bacterial small subunit ribosomal RNA", at positions 8 to 679 of the family's 1533-position model. Lineage: Bacteria; Bacillati; Actinomycetota; Actinomycetes; Mycobacteriales; Nocardiaceae. The record is from RNAcentral.
AGAGUUUGAUCCUGGCUCAGGACGAACGCUGGCGGCGUGCUUAACACAUGCAAGUCGAGCGGUAAGGCCUUUCGGGGUACACGAGCGGCGAACGGGUGAGUAACACGUGGGUGAUCUGCCCUGCACUUCGGGAUAAGCCUGGGAAACUGGGUCUAAUACCGGAUAUGACCUCCUAUCGCAUGGUGGGUGGUGGAAAGAUUUAUCGGUGCAGGAUGGGCCCGCGGCCUAUCAGCUUGUUGGUGGGGUAAUGGCCUACCAAGGCGACGACGGGUAGCCGACCUGAGAGGGUGACCGGCCACACUGGGACUGAGACACGGCCCAGACUCCUACGGGAGGCAGCAGUGGGGAAUAUUGCACAAUGGGCGAAAGCCUGAUGCAGCGACGCCGCGUGAGGGAUGACGGCCUUCGGGUUGUAAACCUCUUUCAGCAGGGACGAAGCGCAAGUGACGGUACCUGCAGAAGAAGCACCGGCUAACUACGUGCCAGCAGCCGCGGUAAUACGUAGGGUGCAAGCGUUGUCCGGAAUUACUGGGCGUAAAGAGUUCGUAGCGGUUUGUCGCGUCGUUUGUGAAAACCAGCAGCUCAACUGCUGGCUUGCAGGCGAUACGGGCAGACUUGAGUACUGCAGGGAGACUGGAAUUCCUGGUGUAGC